Molecule: unclassified non-coding RNA, 230 nt
Filed under: Hevea brasiliensis (rubber tree)
Lineage: Eukaryota; Viridiplantae; Streptophyta; Magnoliopsida; Malpighiales; Euphorbiaceae
Source: RNAcentral
UUUGUAGGAACCACACCUGAGACGCAACUCAUCAAGCUUUUGUUAGCCAAGUCCCGUGUGUUGCUGAGAAUACUAAUUGAUACACGUUAUCUACCUGAUAAACCUCUUGACACAAGAUCAAAAAUAUUUGCCAAGGUCUCAAAUUUUUUGAUAGCAUCACCUAAAGCAUAAGUAGUCUACAUAGAUUUUUAAGCAGAUCAAUUAUUGGCUUACAAGUUGAAAUUGAAAUG